GGGGGGAACCCGACCGAGCACGCCGCGUGAGUGAAGAAUGUUUUCGGAUCGUAAAGCUCUGUUGUUAAGGAAGAACGUGUGUGAGAGUGGAAAGUUCACACAGUGACGGUACUUAACCAGAAAGGGACGGCUAACUACGUGCCAGCAGCCGCGGUAAUACGUAGGUCCCGAGCGUUGACCGGAUUUAUUGGGCGUAAAGCGAGCGCAGGCGGUUAGAUAAGUCUGAAGUGAAAGGCAGUGGCUCAACCAUUGUAGGCUUGGAAACUGUUUAACUUGAGUGCAGAAGGGGAGAGUGGAAUUCCAUGUGUAGCGGUGAAAUGCGUAAUAUAUGGAGGAACACCGGUGGCGAAAGCGGCUCUCUGGUCUGUAACUGACGCUGAGGCUCCAAAGCGUGGGGAGCGAACAGGAUUAGAUACCCUGGUAGUCCACGCCGUAAACGAUGAUGCUAGGUGUUACGGUCCUUUCCGGGACUAGUGCC
Molecule: ribosomal RNA, 478 nt
Filed under: Streptococcus constellatus
Lineage: Bacteria; Bacillati; Bacillota; Bacilli; Lactobacillales; Streptococcaceae
Description: bacterial SSU rRNA
Rfam family: Bacterial small subunit ribosomal RNA
Source: RNAcentral